This 270-nucleotide ribosomal RNA is filed under the name uncultured archaeon. RNAcentral's name for it is "partial 16S ribosomal RNA". It matches the Rfam family "Archaeal small subunit ribosomal RNA", at positions 477 to 747 of the family's 1478-position model. The record is from RNAcentral.
CAGCACCUCAAGUGGUCAGGAGGAUUAUUGGGCCUAAAGCAUCCGUAGCCGGCGCUGUAAGUUUUCGGUUAAAUCUGUACGCUCAACGUACAGGCUGCCGGGAAUACUGCAGCGCUAGGGAGUAGGAGAGGUAGACGGUACUCGGUAGGAAGGGGUAAAAUCCUUUGAUCUAUUGAUGACCACCUGUGGCGAAGGCGGUCUACCAGAACACGUCCGACGGUGAGGGAUGAAAGCUGGGGGAGCAAACCGGAUUAGAUACCCGAGUAGUCC